GAAGGAUCAUUAAAGAGUAAGGGUGCUCAGCGCCCGACCUCCAACCCUUUGUUGUUAAAACUACCUUGUUGCUUUGGCGGGACCGCUCGGUUCCGAGCCGCUGGGGAUUCGUCCCAGGCGAGUGCCCGCCAGAGUUAAACCAAACUCUUGUUAUUAAACCGGUCGUCUGAGUUAAAAUUUUGAAUAAAUCAAAACUUUCAACAACGGAUCUCUUGGUUCUCGCAUCGAUGAAGAACGCAGCGAAAUGCGAUAAGUAAUGUGAAUUGCAGAAUUCAGUGAAUCAUCGAAUCUUUGAACGCACAUUGCGCCCCUUGGUAUUCCGAGGGGCAUGCCUGUUCGAGCGUCAUUACACCACUCAAGCUAUGCUUGGUAUUGGGUGCCGUCCUUAGUUGGGCGCGCCUUAAAGACCUCGGCGAGGCCACUCCGGCUUUAGGCGUAGUAGAAUUUAUUCGAACGUCUGUCAAAGGAGAGGAACUCUGCCGAUUGAAACCUUUAUUUUUCUAGGUUGACCUCGGAUCAGGUAGGGAUACCCGCUGAACUUAA
This 543-nucleotide unclassified non-coding RNA is filed under the name Metschnikowia sp. JSKim-2014. RNAcentral's name for it is "partial contains 18S rRNA, ITS1, 5.8S rRNA, and ITS2". The stretch from base 193 to 346 matches the Rfam family "5.8S ribosomal RNA". The record is from RNAcentral. Lineage: Eukaryota; Fungi; Ascomycota; Pichiomycetes; Serinales; Metschnikowiaceae.